CCUACGGGAGGCAGCAGUGGGGGAUAUUGCACAAUGGGGGAAACCCUGAUGCAGCGACGCCGCGUGAGUGAAGAAGUAUUUCGGUAUGUAAAGCUCUAUCAGCAGGGGAGAAAAUGACAGUACCUGACCAAGAAGCGCCGGCUAACUACGGGCCAGCAGCCGCGGUAAUACGUAGGGGGCAAGCGUUAUCCGGAUUUACUGGGUGUAAAGGGAGCGUAGACGGUUAUGUAAGUCUGGUGUGAAAGCCCGGGGCCCAACCCCGGGACUGCUCUGGAAACUGCCUGGCUGGAGUACAGGAGAGGUAAGCGGAAUUCCUAGUGUAGCGGUGAAAUGCGUAGAUAUUAGGAGGAACACCAGUGGCGAAGGCGGCUUACUGGACUGUAACUGACGUUGAGGCUCGAAAGCGUGGGGAGCAAACAGGAUUAGAUACCCGAGUAGUC
This 440-nucleotide ribosomal RNA is filed under the name uncultured bacterium. Its description in RNAcentral is "partial 16S ribosomal RNA". It matches the Rfam family "Bacterial small subunit ribosomal RNA", at positions 338 to 795 of the family's 1533-position model. The record is from RNAcentral.